RNAcentral lists this long non-coding RNA (1113 nucleotides) under Chloebia gouldiae (Gouldian finch). RNAcentral describes it as "Erythrura gouldiae (Gouldian finch) lncRNA (ENSEGOG00005018433.1)". The record is from RNAcentral. Lineage: Eukaryota; Metazoa; Chordata; Aves; Passeriformes; Passeridae.
AUGUCCCCAAACAUCCCCAAUGUCCCCAAUGUGUCCAAUGUCCCAAAUGUCCCCAAAGGUCCCAAACAUCCCCAAUGUCCCAAAUGUCCCAAAUCUCCCAAAAUGUCCCAAAUGUCCCAAAUGUCCCAAAUCUCCCAAAUCUCCCAAAAUGUCCCCAAUGUCCCAAAUCUCCCAAAUGUUCCGAAUCUCCCCAAUGUCCCCAACAUCCCCAAUGUCCCAAAUGUCCCAAAUCUCCCAAAUCUCCCAAAAUGUCCCAAAUGUCCCAAAUCUCCCAAAAUGUCCCAAAAUGUCCCCAAAUCUCCGCAGGAUCUCGGACCGGGGCGGUGGCAUCCCCCACGAGCUGCUGGACAAGGUGACCGAGUACCACUUCAGCACGGCCGAGGCCAGCGCGCAGGACCCGCGCCUGGGGGGGCCCUUCCGCGGCCUGAUGGACGCCAGCGGCCAGCCGGGGCCCAUGCACGGGUCAGGGACCCCUCCCCACAUCAGGGACCCCCUCCCCAAAUCGGGGAAACCCACCGAAAAUUGGGGGAUGUUUAUCGGAAAUUGGGGACAUCCCCUCAAAAUGGCGGAGAGCGCCCAGGGUUGGGUUUUGGGGGGGAUUUGGGGAGGAUUUGGGGGGGAUUUUGGGGUUUGAGGACACCCCAGGGACCCCUCCCCAAAUUGGGGACCCCCUCCCCAAAUCGGGGAAAUCCACCAAAAAUUGGGGGACGUUUAUCGGAAAUUUGGGGACGUUUAUCGGAAAUUUGGGACAUCCCCUCAAAAUGGCGGAGAGCGCUCGGGGUUGGGUUUUGGGGGGGAUUUGGGGAGGAUUUGGGAGGGAUUUGGGGGUUUGAGGGGAGCCCAGGGACCCCUCCCCAAAUCGGGGACCCCCUCCCCAAAAUGGGGACCCCCUCCCCAAAUCGGGGAAAUCCAGCGAAAAUUUGGGGACGUUUAUCGGAAAUUGGGGACAUCCUUUCAAAAUGGCGGAGAGUGCCCGAGGUUGGGUUUGGGGGGGAUUUGGGGGGGAUUUUGGGGUUUGAGGGACCCCAGGGACCCCUCCCCAAAUCGAGGACAGCCCCCGAAAAUUUGGGGAAAUCCACCGAAAAUUUGGGGGAUGUUUAUCGGAAAUUUGGG